This 253-nucleotide ribosomal RNA is filed under the name uncultured bacterium. RNAcentral's name for it is "partial 16S ribosomal RNA". It matches the Rfam family "Bacterial small subunit ribosomal RNA", at positions 524 to 776 of the family's 1533-position model. The record is from RNAcentral.
UACAGAGGGUGCGAGCGUUGUCCGGAAUCACUGGGCGUAAAGGGCGCGUAGGCGGUCUGCUAAGCGUGUGGUGAAAGCUCGGGGCUCAACCCCGCGUCGGCCAUGCGAACUGGUGGACUGGAGCUUGUCAGAGGCAGGCGGAAUUCCGGGUGUAGCGGUGGAAUGCGUAGAGAUCCGGAAGAACACCGGUGGCGAAGGCGGCCUGCUGGGACAAUGCUGACGCUGAGGCGCGACAGCGUGGGGAGCAAACAGG